GUCCUCGUAGCUCUGUUGGAUAGAGCAUUGGCUGUACUAAAGCCUUCCCCAUGAUGGCGUGGGUUCGUAUCCCACCGAGGCCG
Molecule: non-coding RNA, 83 nt
Organism: Schistocephalus solidus
Lineage: Eukaryota; Metazoa; Platyhelminthes; Cestoda; Diphyllobothriidea; Diphyllobothriidae
Source: Rfam